This 251-nucleotide ribosomal RNA is filed under the name uncultured bacterium. RNAcentral describes it as "partial 16S ribosomal RNA". It matches the Rfam family "Bacterial small subunit ribosomal RNA", at positions 524 to 776 of the family's 1533-position model. The record is from RNAcentral.
UACGUAGGGAGCAAGCGUUGUUCGGAUUUACUGGGCGUAAAGGGCGCGUAGGCGGCGCGGUAAGUCACUUGUGAAAUCUCUGAGCUUAACUCAGAACGGACAAGUGAUACUGCAGUGCUAGAGUGCAGAAGGGGCAAUCGGAAUUCUUGGUGUAGCGGUGAAAUGCGUAGAUAUCAAGAGGAACACCUGAGGUGAAGAAGGGUUGCUGGGCCGACACUGACGCUGGAGCGAAAGCGUGGGGAGCGAACAGG